UACGUAGGGUGCGAGCGUUGUCCGGAAUUACUGGGCGUAAAGAGCUCGUAGGUGGUUUGUCGCGUUGUUCGUGAAAACUCACAGCUUAACUGUGGGCGUGCGGGCGAUACGGGCAGACUGGAGUACUGCAGGGGAGACUGGAAUUCCUGGUGUAGCGGUGGAAUGCGCAGAUAUCAGGAGGAACACCGGUGGCGAAGGCGGGACUCUGGGCCGAUACUGACGCUGAGGAGCGAAAGCGUGGGGAGCAAACAGG
This 253-nucleotide ribosomal RNA is filed under the name uncultured bacterium. RNAcentral's name for it is "partial 16S ribosomal RNA". It matches the Rfam family "Bacterial small subunit ribosomal RNA", at positions 524 to 776 of the family's 1533-position model. The record is from RNAcentral.